RNAcentral lists this ribosomal RNA (468 nucleotides) under uncultured bacterium. Its description in RNAcentral is "partial 16S ribosomal RNA". It matches the Rfam family "Bacterial small subunit ribosomal RNA", at positions 28 to 507 of the family's 1533-position model. The record is from RNAcentral.
GACGAACGCUGGCGGCGUGCUUAACACAUGCAAGUCGAACGGAAAGGCCCUGCUUUUGUGGGGUGCUCGAGUGGCGAACGGGUGAGUAACACGUGAGUAACCUGCCCUUGACUUUGGGAUAACUUCAGGAAACUGGGGCUAAUACCGGAUAGGAGCUCCUGCUGCAUGGUGGGGGUUGGAAAGUUUCGGCGGUUGGGGAUGGACUCGCGGCUUAUCAGCUUGUGGGUGGGGUAGUGGCUUACCAAGGCUUUGACGGGUAGCCGGCCUGAGAGGGUGACCGGCAACAAUGGGACUGAGAUACGGAGCAGACUCCUACGGGAGGCAGCAGUGGGGAAUAUUGCACAAUGGGCGGAAGCCCGAUGCAGCAACGCCGCGUGCGGGAUGACGGCCUUCGGGUUGUAAACCGCUUUCGCCUGUGACGAAGCGUGAGUGACGGUAAUGGGUAAAGAAGCACCGGCUAACUACGUG